RNAcentral lists this ribosomal RNA (271 nucleotides) under uncultured bacterium. RNAcentral describes it as "partial 16S ribosomal RNA". It matches the Rfam family "Bacterial small subunit ribosomal RNA", at positions 82 to 354 of the family's 1533-position model. The record is from RNAcentral.
CGGGAGCGACUUAGCGGCGGACGGGUGAGUAACGCGUGGGUAACCUGCCCCAUACCGGGGGAUAACGGUUAGAAAUGACCGCUAAUACCGCUUAAGCGCACGAGGCCGCAUGGCCGCGCGCGAAAAACUCCGGUGGUAUGGGAUGGGCCCGCGUCUGAUUAGCUAGUUGGCGGGGUAAAGCCCACCAAGGCGACGAUCAGUAGCCGACCUGAGAGGGUGGCCGGCCACAUUGGGACUGAGACACGGCCCAAACUCCUACGGAAGGCAGCAG